Molecule: ribosomal RNA, 253 nt
Filed under: uncultured bacterium
Lineage: Bacteria
Description: partial 16S ribosomal RNA
Rfam family: Bacterial small subunit ribosomal RNA
Source: RNAcentral
UACGUAGGGUGCGAGCGUUGUCCGGAAUUAUUGGGCGUAAAGAGCUCGUAGGCGGUCUGUUACGUCCGCUGUGAAAACCCGGAGCUCAACUCCGGGCCUGCAGUCGAUACGGGCAAACUGGAGUGUUGCAGGGGAGACUGGAAUUCCUGGUGUAGCGGUGAAAUGCGCAGAUAUCAGGAGGAACACCGGUGGCGAAGGCGGGUCUCUGGGCAACAACUGACGCUGAGGAGCGAAAGCGUGGGGAGCAAACAGG